GAUGAACGCUGGCGGCGUGCCUAAUACAUGCAAGUCGAGCGAACGGACGAGAAGCUUGCUUCUCCGAUGUUAGCGGCGGACGGGUGAGUAACACGUGGAUAACCUACCUAUAAGACUGGGAUAACUUCGGGAAACCGGAGCUAAUACCGGAUAAUAUUUUGAACCGCAUGGUUCAAAAGUGAAAGACGGUCUUGCUGUCACUUAUAGAUGGAUCCGCGCUGCAUUAGCUAGUUGGUAAGGUAACGGCUUACCAAGGCAACGAUGCAUAGCCGACCUGAGAGGGUGAUCGGCCACACUGGAACUGAGACACGGUCCAGACUCCUACGGGAGGCAGCAGUAGGGAAUCUUCCGCAAUGGGCGAAAGCCUGACGGAGCAACGCCGCGUGAGCGAUGAAGGUCUUCGGAUCGUAAAACUCUGUUAUUAGGGAAGAACAUAUGUGUAAGUAACUGUGCACAUCUUGACGGUACCUAAUCAGAAAGCCACGGCUAACUACGUG
This 497-nucleotide ribosomal RNA is filed under the name uncultured bacterium. RNAcentral's name for it is "partial 16S ribosomal RNA". It matches the Rfam family "Bacterial small subunit ribosomal RNA", at positions 28 to 507 of the family's 1533-position model. The record is from RNAcentral.